GGUAGGGUGGCCGAGUAUCAGGCGGCGGUUUGUAGCACCGUGUACAGAGGUUCAAUUCCUUUUUCUAUCA
This 70-nucleotide transfer RNA is filed under the name Rasbora lacrimula. RNAcentral describes it as "tRNA-Tyr". It matches the Rfam family "tRNA". Rfam says of the family: Transfer RNA (tRNA) molecules are approximately 80 nucleotides in length. Their secondary structure includes four short double-helical elements and three loops (D, anti-codon, and T loops). Lineage: Eukaryota; Metazoa; Chordata; Actinopteri; Cypriniformes; Danionidae. The record is from RNAcentral.